RNAcentral lists this long non-coding RNA (313 nucleotides) under Fukomys damarensis (Damara mole-rat). RNAcentral describes it as "lncRNA (ENSFDAG00000026719.1)". The record is from RNAcentral. Lineage: Eukaryota; Metazoa; Chordata; Mammalia; Rodentia; Bathyergidae.
GUCAUAGAAAACAAAAGUUAAAUUAUGGAAAUUCACAGCUCAUUUUUCCAUUUUGCAGAUGAGACUCAGGAUUUGGAAAGCAAAACAAACAACCGAACAAACAAAUGAAAAGAGUAGAUUUUGGACCUCCACGAAUGAUUUCAAAGUGAACAAUAAGAAGAUCUCUGCCUGCAUAAGACUCAUUUUGAAAGUGACACUAAAGAGCCCAUCCAAGAAGAUAAUAACGGGAGAAGAAACCGGCCUGGUAAACAUAAGCGGCCGGGGACAUCAGCAGAAGACAAGAGGGGAAGGGGAGAGGAAGCUGAUCCUCUCA